CUGUGCUAAUGUUUAGAGCAACGGUACAAUGUUAAAUAGGGAGCAACUCAUCCGCAAUUCUCGUUUACAAAUAACGAACAUUUGUUGAAUCGUGCGAUUAAGCCUUUCAACCAAACCUGACGAAUGAGGAUGGUAUGGCGUUGCACGUGUUUCUCAACCUGAAGUAACUACCCCCAACAGCAAGGAUUCAAAAUCACCACCUUAAUCUGAAUGGAUUGACUAGGGUAAAAAAAUGAUUAACCAAAGUCCGAGCUGUUGUUUCUGCUCAUUGGUCUGGUAACGGAAAACACUCCAACCAUUUCGUAAAGUAAUCACAUACAACUAAAACAUAUUGAUUACCCCGGUUUUUGGUGGUGGCCCAAGGAAGUUGAUACCAAUGCGCUCCAUAGCGUAUCCCGGCUACUCACGGUUGCAGCGUUGUCGCGACAAUCAAUGCAUCUGCGUUCACAUGCUGUUUCCCAGGUUAUGUUUGAUCUUAUAGCUACUGUUGUCCCCAUAAAUAGGGCUUAAAUGUUUUACAAAGUUAACCACCGCUAUAGUUCUCUUCUCUGUACGUCGCGCAGUACCUUCCUUCGUCUGUGUUUCGUUCCUCUUGGUUUGGCAAUCUGCUUGUUUGUGACCUACUUGACCACGCAGUAUUUGCAUUUUAUUUCCUGCCCUUUAUAAGUGACAUGUUAGCUCUUAUCUCUUUUGAUUCACAAAUAAUUGGUAAAUGGAUUUGUGUCCUGAUCAUCGUUUCUCAUAAUCUCUACACGGCGGCCAGUCAGAGUAGCGGCUAGCGUCUUUAUCUAUUCUUCAGUAGCGGUUAAUUGUGCUCUGGCACAGAUUUAAUGACAUAAAGAUACUAAAUUUAACACUAACGUAUAAAGAUUGAAAGCAACGCUGUAUAGCGAAAACUAGGACAGGAAUUGAAUGCAGUUUCGCUGACUACGACGUAACAUCUACGUUCCCGUCAUUCUAAUUGUGACAAUAAAACAAUUCCACUUGUGUGUAUGCCAGGCGAGACAAUUGCUACAUGCCAAUGACGCGUUUCAUUGUUUUGGUGCUAGUGUUUUUCGUUAUGUAAACCUUACAAUACCCUGCUGUCUCAUUUUAUCUUGUAA
Non-coding RNA from Ciona intestinalis (vase tunicate), 1103 nucleotides. NCBI's taxonomy places the organism in Eukaryota, Metazoa, Chordata, Ascidiacea, Phlebobranchia, Cionidae. The record is from RefSeq and is a predicted model, not a curated record.